RNAcentral lists this ribosomal RNA (434 nucleotides) under uncultured Blautia sp. RNAcentral's name for it is "partial 16S ribosomal RNA". It matches the Rfam family "Bacterial small subunit ribosomal RNA", at positions 341 to 792 of the family's 1533-position model. Lineage: Bacteria; Bacillati; Bacillota; Clostridia; Lachnospirales; Lachnospiraceae. The record is from RNAcentral.
ACGGGAGGCAGCAGUGGGGAAUAUUGCACAAUGGGGGAAACCCUGAUGCAGCGACGCCGCGUGAAGGAAGAAGUAUCUCGGUAUGUAAACUUCUAUCAGCAGGGAAGAUAAUGACGGUACCUGACUAAGAAGCCCCGGCUAACUACGUGCCAGCAGCCGCGGUAAUACGUAGGGGGCAAGCGUUAUCCGGAUUUACUGGGUGUAAAGGGAGCGUAGACGGAGAAGUAAGUCUGAUGUGAAAGGCAUGGGCUCAACCUGUGGACUGCAUUGGAAACUAUUUUUCUUGAGUGCCGGAGGGGUAAGCGGAAUUCCUAGUGUAGCGGUGAAAUGCGUAGAUAUUAGGAGGAACACCAGAGGCGAAGGCGGCUUACUGGACUGUAACUGACGUUGAGGCUCGAAAGCGUGGGGAGCAAACAGGAUUAGAUACCCUGGUA